GACGAACGCUGGCGGCGUGCUUAACACAUGCAAGUCGAACGGAAAGGCCCUGCUUUUGUGGGGUGCUCGAGUGGCGAACGGGUGAGUAACACGUGAGUAACCUGCCCUUGACUUUGGGAUAACUUCAGGAAACUGGGGCUAAUACCGGAUAGGAGCUCCUGCUGCAUGGUGGUGGUUGGAAAGUUUCGGCGGUUGGGGAUGGACUCGCGGCUUAUCAGCUUGUUGGGGGGGUAGUGGCUUACCAAGGCUUUGACGGGUAGGCGGCCUGGGAGGGUGACCGGCCACAUUGGGACUGAGAUACGGACCAGAAUCCUACGGGAGGCAGCAGUGGGGAAUAUUGCACAAUGGGCGGAAGCCUGAGGCAGCAACGCCGCGUGCGGGAUGACGGCCUUCGGGUUGUAAACCGCUUUCGCCUGUGACGAAGCGUGAGUGACGGUAAUGGGUAAAGAAGCACCGGCUAACUACGUG
This 468-nucleotide ribosomal RNA is filed under the name uncultured bacterium. Its description in RNAcentral is "partial 16S ribosomal RNA". It matches the Rfam family "Bacterial small subunit ribosomal RNA", at positions 28 to 507 of the family's 1533-position model. The record is from RNAcentral.